UAAAUAUUUACAAAUAUGCCAUAUAAAUAUAUAACAAUACACCAAGUUAAAAAAGAAUCAUCUUCAUCUCCUCUUACUCCCUGUACGCAAAAAGUAAUAGUUCAGAUCCAGUUCAGCAUAGGAGAGUCCAAAGACAUUAACAAAUUUAUCAAUAUGCAAAAUAUAAAAUUUCUCUAUUUAAAUUAGCACAUAUUGUGCUAAAUUAUUUA
Molecule: unclassified non-coding RNA, 209 nt
Filed under: Hevea brasiliensis (rubber tree)
Lineage: Eukaryota; Viridiplantae; Streptophyta; Magnoliopsida; Malpighiales; Euphorbiaceae
Source: RNAcentral